AUUGAACGCUGGCGGCAGGCCUAACACAUGCAAGUCGAGCGGGGUUUUCGGACCUAGCGGCGGACGGGUGGGUAAUGCGUAGGAAGCUGCCCGAUAGAGGGGGAUACCAGUUGGAAACGACUGUUAAUACCGCAUAAUGUCUACGGACCAAAGUGUGGGACCUUCGGGCCACAUGCUAUCGGAUGCGCCUACGUGGGAUU
Molecule: ribosomal RNA, 200 nt
Filed under: uncultured bacterium
Lineage: Bacteria
Description: partial 16S ribosomal RNA
Rfam family: Bacterial small subunit ribosomal RNA
Source: RNAcentral